Molecule: ribosomal RNA, 475 nt
Filed under: uncultured Desulfobulbus sp.
Lineage: Bacteria; Pseudomonadati; Thermodesulfobacteriota; Desulfobulbia; Desulfobulbales; Desulfobulbaceae
Description: bacterial SSU rRNA
Rfam family: Bacterial small subunit ribosomal RNA
Source: RNAcentral
GACGGGGGCCCGCACAAGCGGUGGAGUAUGUGGUUUAAUUCGAUGCAACGCGAAGAACCUUACCUGGUCUUGACAUCCCGGAGACCCUUAGGAAACUAGGGGUGCUUCCAUCUGGAAGAAUCUGGAGACAGGUGCUGCAUGGCUGUCGUCAGCUCGUGUCGUGAGAUGUUGGGUUAAGUCCCGCAACGAGCGCAACCCUUGCCUUUAGUUGCCAGCAGUUCGGCUGGGCACUCUAAAGGGACUGCCGGUGUUAAACCGGAGGAAGGUGGGGAUGACGUCAAGUCCUCAUGGCCUUUAUGACCAGGGCUACACACGUACUACAAUGGCCGAUACAAAGGGCAGCGACACUGCGAGGUGAAGCCAAUCCCGUAAAAUCGGUCUCAGUCCGGAUUGGAGUCUGCAACUCGACUUCAUGAAGUCGGAAUCGCUAGUAAUCGCGGAUCAGAACGCCGCGGUGAAUACGUUCUCGGGGUUU